AUGGAAUUCUCAACUUCAUUUGCUUUUGUGAAUGAAGCUUGGACUUGGAGGUAUUGCUGGCCGUACGGUCGGCUCCUCUUGAAUUUAUUAGCUCGAGCCUUUGUGGAUCAGCUUCGGUGUGAUAAUUGUCUACGCCGUUCUGUGAAGCAUGACUAUGGGAUUCGGCUUCCAAUAGUCCUUCACUGGACAAUAUCUUUGACCUU
This 203-nucleotide unclassified non-coding RNA is filed under the name Fomitopsis serialis. Its description in RNAcentral is "Antrodia serialis ITS2". Lineage: Eukaryota; Fungi; Basidiomycota; Agaricomycetes; Polyporales; Fomitopsidaceae. The record is from RNAcentral.